RNAcentral lists this unclassified non-coding RNA (20 nucleotides) under Chlamydomonas reinhardtii. RNAcentral describes it as "small RNA Cre_2793". Lineage: Eukaryota; Viridiplantae; Chlorophyta; Chlorophyceae; Chlamydomonadales; Chlamydomonadaceae. The record is from RNAcentral.
UCUGGGAGGAGGUCGUUGUG